AUUGGGAUAUUUUUAAAGUCCCCCAGCUGAUUCUAAUUUACAGCCAAGAUUGCUAACCACAGUGCUAGGAAAUGGCCUCAGGCAGAUCUUUCGCGUAAGUGUAGAAAAAGUUCUCCGGGUUCCUCUUAGGGGAGAGACCAUUUUUAUCUGCUGCUCACUGAGAAGCAGAGAGAAAGGAGGCUGCCUAGUUGCCAGGAGGAACAUUGACCUGCCACAGCCUCCUACAUCUGUCCUAGAAGUGAAGUCCAUUUUCUGCUAAAGACAAAAAGAGAAGUGAAUUCCGUAAUCUACAAACCAGUCCUCUCACUCUAUCCUUCCUAACAACUUCAUAAUGAAGAUUAAUGGGACGUGGCUGGAUAUUCCAUGUCUUGCUGCAAGGGUGUUUACUGAAUUCUAUACUGGAUACUGACUCUGGGAAGCUCUCAAAGAAGCAAUGAAUUACAGAUAGAUUCUGGUUCUGCUGCUUCCUUCUGCCAAGUCCUAGGAAAUAGACAUUAUUCCCUCGUUAUUCAAAUGAGGUAAUUGGAGCACAGAGGUUUGUGAAUCACCCAAGUCACAUAGGAUUCUAUCCAGGGCUCUACAUUACACGUCGUUAUGUUUUUUUAGGCUCCUCUUGGAGAUGGCAGUUUCUCAGACAUUGUUGUUUUUGAUAAGCUUGAUAGUUUUGAAGAGUCUCGGUCAGUUGGUUCCAGAUCUCGCCAUUGGAGCUCUUUCCAUUGGCUCCUGUGUCCUUCAGCAUAUCUCCAUCUGUUUUCCUGGCUGAAUUCAAGCUUCCUUGGUGAGGUGGAGAAUAAGAACAGACACCUUCUAAGGACUGAGUAUCUGUGCCCCUCCCAAAUUCAUGUGUUGAAGCCUCAAUACCAAUGUGAUGGAUUUCAGAGAUGGGGACUUUCGGAAGCAAUUAGGUCGUGAGGGUGGAGCCUUCAUAAUGGCAUUACAGCCCUUUUAUAAGAGACACAAAAGAGCUUGCUGGCUCGCUCUCUCUCUCUCUCUCUGCCGUGUGAGGAUCCAAGGAGAUGGCCAUCUGCAAACCAGGAAGAGGGCUCUCUCGGGAACCUGACCAUGCCGCACCAUCAGCUUGGACUUCCAGCCUCCAGAAUUGUGAGAGAGAAAUUUCUGUGGUUUAAGCCACCCUAUCUAUGGUAUUUGUUAUGGCAGCCUGAGCAGACUAAGGCAAGCCGUAAAGAGGAAAAUAUAAUAAAUUCUCCUGAAUUCUGUAUAACAUUAGCCAUUAAUCUACAUCAAUAUAUGGUGACGAUAUAUAAGUGGAAUGUACAAUGCAUAAAAUAUGCAUAUAUUAAGGUAAAGUAGGUAAUAAUGUUUAUCUUAAAUUACACAGACCCAUUUAGACUCUUUUGGUUUUAUAAUUUGGCUUGUUUUGUUACUAUCUCGAUGAAUUGCUUAUUCAUUUCAAAUUUUAUAACAUGUAUUUCUCCUUUGAGGAAAUGUAGACGAUUGAUAUUGGGAUAGAGCUUAAAUUGUGAGAAAUUACUCAACUGUGGUAAAGGGAAUACAUCAGAAGUAACACUUGGCUCACUAAAUUUUAUUUGAAUUAGGUGUCAAGUAAGCUAAGACGUGCAGGAGACAGCUGAUGGGGUAUGAAUUAAAUUUUAGGUUCUGCUCAUCAUUUGUUAGAAAUGGAAAUCAGUUUUCAAUAGUAUUCUCAUGUAUAAUUAAAACACAGAGCUAUGUAAUGUUUGGUA
RNAcentral lists this long non-coding RNA (1703 nucleotides) under Equus asinus (donkey). RNAcentral describes it as "lncRNA (ENSEASG00005030890.1)". Lineage: Eukaryota; Metazoa; Chordata; Mammalia; Perissodactyla; Equidae. The record is from RNAcentral.